AACAUCGCGCACCUGCGGGAACCUGCGGAAGGAUCAUUAAUGAUUGGUGGCUGUUGCUGACUAGUGUUUCUAGUAUGUGCACGCCACACCUUCAAUCCCACUUGCACCUGUGCACCUUCUGUAAUAGAUCUAUGUGGAUACGGAGAUAUGAAAGUUUGCGCUCUCGUACUCUGUUGAAGCAGUCUACUACGUUUUUUUACACACACACAAUAGUCAUUGAAUGUAUUUUUUAUUCUUAUG
RNAcentral lists this unclassified non-coding RNA (240 nucleotides) under soil metagenome. Its description in RNAcentral is "partial contains 5.8S ribosomal RNA, internal transcribed spacer 2, and large subunit ribosomal RNA". The record is from RNAcentral.